CCUACGGGUGGCAGCAGUGGGGAAUAUUGGACAAUGGGGGCAACCCUGAUCCAGCCAUGCCGCGUGUGUGAAGAAGGCCCUCGGGUUGUAAAGCACUUUCAGUGAGGAAGAACGCCUGGUGGUUAAUACCCAUCAGGAAAGACAUCACUCACAGAAGAAGCACCGGCUAACUCCGUGCCAGCAGCCGCGGUAAUACGGAGGGUGCGAGCGUUAAUCGGAAUUACUGGGCGUAAAGCGCGCGUAGGUGGCUUGAUAAGCCGGUUGUGAAAGCCCCGGGCUCAACCUGGGAACGGCAUCCGGAACUGUCAAGCUAGAGUGCAGGAGAGGAAGGUAGAAUUCCCGGUGUAGCGGUGAAAUGCGUAGAGAUCGGGAGGAAUACCAGUGGCGAAGGCGGCCUUCUGGACUGACACUGACACUGAGGUGCGAAAGCGUGGGUAGCAAACAGGAUUAGAUACCCCGGUAGUC
This 465-nucleotide ribosomal RNA is filed under the name Vreelandella stevensii. RNAcentral's name for it is "partial 16S ribosomal RNA". It matches the Rfam family "Bacterial small subunit ribosomal RNA", at positions 338 to 795 of the family's 1533-position model. The record is from RNAcentral. Lineage: Bacteria; Pseudomonadati; Pseudomonadota; Gammaproteobacteria; Oceanospirillales; Halomonadaceae.